This 497-nucleotide ribosomal RNA is filed under the name uncultured bacterium. Its description in RNAcentral is "partial 16S ribosomal RNA". It matches the Rfam family "Bacterial small subunit ribosomal RNA", at positions 28 to 507 of the family's 1533-position model. The record is from RNAcentral.
GAUGAACGCUGGCGGCGUGCCUAAUACAUGCAAGUCGAGCGAACGGACGAGAAGCUUGCUUCUCUGAUGUUAGCGGCGGACGGGUGAGUAACACGUGGAUAACCCACCUAUAAGACUGGGAUAACUUCGGGAAACCGUAGCUAAUACCGGAUAAUAUUUUGAACCGCAUGGUUCAAAAGUGAAAGACGGUCUUGCUGUCACUUAUAGAUGGAUCCGCGCUGCAUUAGCUAGUUGGUAAGGUAACGGCUUACCAAGGCAACGAUGCAUAGCCGACCUGAGAGGGGGAUCGGCCACACUGGAACUGAGACGCGGUCCAGGCUCCUACGGGAGGCAGCAGUAGGGAAUCUUACGCAAUGGGCGAAAGCCUGACGGAGCAACGGCGCGUGAGUGAUGGAGGUCUUCGGAUCGUAAAACUCUGUUAUUAGGGAAGAACAUAUGUGUAAGUAACUGUGCACAUCUUGACGGUACCUAAUCAGAAAGCAACGGCUAACUACGUG